RNAcentral lists this ribosomal RNA (939 nucleotides) under Lactiplantibacillus plantarum. Its description in RNAcentral is "bacterial SSU rRNA". It matches the Rfam family "Bacterial small subunit ribosomal RNA", at positions 56 to 961 of the family's 1533-position model. The record is from RNAcentral. Lineage: Bacteria; Bacillati; Bacillota; Bacilli; Lactobacillales; Lactobacillaceae.
UGCAGUCGACGACUCUGGUAUUGAUUGGUGCUUGCAUCAUGAUUUACAUUUGAGUGAGUGGCGAACUGGUGAGUAACACGUGGGAAACCUGCCCAGAAGCGGGGGAUAACACCUGGAAACAGAUGCUAAUACCGCAUAACAACUUGGACCGCAUGGUCCGAGUUUGAAAGAUGGCUUCGGCUAUCACUUUUGGAUGGUCCCGCGGCGUAUUAGCUAGAUGGUGGGGUAACGGCUCACCAUGGCAAUGAUACGUAGCCGACCUGAGAGGGUAAUCGGCCACAUUGGGACUGAGACACGGCCCAAACUCCUACGGGAGGCAGCAGUAGGGAAUCUUCCACAAUGGACGAAAGUCUGAUGGAGCAACGCCGCGUGAGUGAAGAAGGGUUUCGGCUCGUAAAACUCUGUUGUUAAAGAAGAACAUAUCUGAGAGUAACUGUUCAGGUAUUGACGGUAUUUAACCAGAAAGCCACGGCUAACUACGUGCCAGCAGCCGCGGUAAUACGUAGGUGGCAAGCGUUGUCCGGAUUUAUUGGGCGUAAAGCGAGCGCAGGCGGUUUUUUAAGUCUGAUGUGAAAGCCUUCGGCUCAACCGAAGAAGUGCAUCGGAAACUGGGAAACUUGAGUGCAGAAGAGGACAGUGGAACUCCAUGUGUAGCGGUGAAAUGCGUAGAUAUAUGGAAGAACACCAGUGGCGAAGGCGGCUGUCUGGUCUGUAACUGACGCUGAGGCUCGAAAGUAUGGGUAGCAAACAGGAUUAGAUACCCUGGUAGUCCAUACCGUAAACGAUGAAUGCUAAGUGUUGGAGGGUUUCCGCCCUUCAGUGCUGCAGCUAACGCAUUAAGCAUUCCGCCUGGGGAGUACGGCCGCAAGGCUGAAACUCAAAGGAAUUGACGGGGGCCCGCACAAGCGGNGGAGCAUGUGGGUUUAAUUCGAAGCUACG